AAAAACACUUUUGAAAUUUUGAAGCACGCUCAAUACAUGGAGCAAAGAGCAAAUAGUGGAAUUGCAAAUUCUAUAUCUCAAUGAAGCUUUAAAUUAAGAAGAGGAUAGUAAAAACAUAUUUUACGGAUAGUAUGAAACAUAUUCACUGACGAGGAAAAUCGUACUGAAUUGAUAUUUACUCUGGAUUUGACAAUUGGAAAAAUGGAUUAUACUUUACCUGGAAUUGACUAUACUUACGAAAACUACUAAUUGGAAUACUUACGAAAGACAAUAUAUUAAGAAUUUAAAUUUGAAGAAAAGAAAUACGUAAGACUAGGCAGUAUGGUCGUAAGACUAUAGCCUGUCCUAUAAGGACGAAUUAUAAAAAAAAAAAAAAAAAUCAUAACAAAAAUUUAUCAUUUUGUGUUAUUGUCAUUGUCUUAAUAACAUCUAUUGUUUGAAUUAUCAAAUUUACUAGCCACAAAGAUGUAUUUGAAACUGUGUGUACUUGUAUUUGCUUUACUAAGCAUAAGUAAUGUGGAGGCUUCUACGGGCUACGACUUUGGGGACUUCCUGGCUACAGUUUUAGGCAUUGGAAUCGCAGUGGUCGGUAUCCUGGCCUGUCUUGGAAAUUAUGCGAGACAGAAAGCUCGGAAUGAAUUUAUAUAGGAUACAGCCCAAAUUGUUGACGCAUAAUAUGCCUCACAACUAUUGCAAAAGAUAUUUUAAUAAAUGUGGUUAAUUAUGGUUGAAACUACAUAUACUGUAAGAUUGUUUUAUACUUCUUAAAAAGUAUUCCAUUGUAGGUUGUCCAUUAUGUAGGUACCUACUACCUUCCUAUAUCUCAUUAUAAAUGAAAAAUUUGAUAUGCUUUAUUUCACUCAAAGAUCAUUACUCUGCAAUGUAUUGGUGUUUUUCAUAGACACUUCUUAUAAUAAAAAUUUUACAGGAUUACCUUUGGGAAUACAAUGUUCUUUAAAAGCAGCACACUUACCGAUACAAAAUGUUUAGAAAUCUUCAAAUCACAUUCCAUGUUAGAUAAUGUGUAAUGUGUUUCUAUAAAGAUAUUUAUGUACACUUUCAAAUUUAUCAUAAAUUCAUGAUCUUCCAUUGUAAUGCCAUAAGUUGUAAUGCUAUAUUUAUAAAAAUAAGUGCUUUUUAAACACUACAAUAGAAAUGAAAUGUGCUUUAUAUAAUUUAACUUCUAUCUAGUAUCUAUGUAGAACUAAAUUGUAAUUUAAGAUGUAAAAUAUUACAUAUUUGUAUGCUAUAUUGAAUAUUGUAUAUCAAAAUAUGUAACUUUGUAUCUUCUUUUGCAUUAAUUAGUUCCUAUUGAAAAAAAAUUGGGCAUAGAAAGUAUAAUUUGUAGACCUGUUUAUAACCAGUAGUAAAUUAACAUGUUUUAUAUCAGAAUAGCAUAUAUUAUAGCCAACAUAAUAAUAUGCCACAUAUCUGAUGAUUUUUAUUGAAAGCCUUUUAAAUUAUAGGCUUCAAUAUUUAUAAGACAUUUAAAUUGUAUUGUGUUAACAUUUAUAGGUAACUUGGUUAGAGCCAAUUUAUAUAGUAUUGUAAUAACUAUGAAAUAAAUAGAUUGUUGAUA
This 1579-nucleotide long non-coding RNA is filed under the name Manduca sexta (tobacco hornworm). RNAcentral describes it as "uncharacterized LOC115446564". The record is from RNAcentral. Lineage: Eukaryota; Metazoa; Arthropoda; Insecta; Lepidoptera; Sphingidae.